Molecule: ribosomal RNA, 440 nt
Filed under: uncultured bacterium
Lineage: Bacteria
Description: partial 16S ribosomal RNA
Rfam family: Bacterial small subunit ribosomal RNA
Source: RNAcentral
CCUACGUGAGGCUGCAGUGGGGGAUAUUGCACAAUGGGGGAAACCCUGAUGCAGCGACGCCGCGUGUGGGAAGACGGUCCUCUGGAUUGUAAACCACUGUCCCCAGGGACGAAGAUAACGUUACCUGGGGAGGAAGCUCCGGCUAACUACGUUCCAGCAGCCGCGGUCAUACGUAGGGAGCGAGCGUUGUCCGGAAUUACGGGGUGUAAAGGGCGCGUAGGCGGGGAUGCAAGUUGGGUGUCAAAACUACCGGCUCAACUGGUAGUCGCACUCAAAACUGCAGCUCUUGAGUGAAGUAGAGGCAGGCGGAAUUCCUAGUGUAGCGGUGAAAUGCGUAGAUAUUAGGAGGAACACCAGUGGCGAAGGCGGCCUGCUGGGCUUUUACUGACGCUGAGGCUCGAAAGUGUGGGGAGCAAACAGGAUUAGAUACCCUUGUAGUC